GGGGGUAUGGCGGAAUUGGUAGACGCGCCAGACUCAAAAUCUGGUGACUUCGGUCGUCUCGGUUCGACUCCGAGUAUCCCCACCA
RNAcentral lists this transfer RNA (85 nucleotides) under Candidatus Pelagibacterales bacterium. Its description in RNAcentral is "tRNA-Leu". It matches the Rfam family "tRNA". Rfam says of the family: Transfer RNA (tRNA) molecules are approximately 80 nucleotides in length. Their secondary structure includes four short double-helical elements and three loops (D, anti-codon, and T loops). The record is from RNAcentral. Lineage: Bacteria; Pseudomonadati; Pseudomonadota; Alphaproteobacteria; Candidatus Pelagibacterales.